Molecule: ribosomal RNA, 274 nt
Filed under: uncultured bacterium
Lineage: Bacteria
Description: partial 16S ribosomal RNA
Rfam family: Bacterial small subunit ribosomal RNA
Source: RNAcentral
AUACGGGGGGGGCAAGCGUUGUUCGGAAUUACUGGGCGUAAAGGGCGCGUAGGCGGCCUGGCAAGUCUUGCGUGAAAUCCCUCGGCUUAACUGAGGAACUGCGUGGGAAACUGCCUGGCUUGAGUUCGGGAGAGGGAAGCGGAAUUCCGGGUGUAGCGGUGAAAUGCGCAGAUAUCCGGAGGAACACCAGUGGCGAAGGCGGCUUCCUGGACCGACACUGACGCUGAGGCGCGAAAGCUAGGGUAGCAAACGGGAUUAGAAACCCCGGUAGUCC